Molecule: long non-coding RNA, 347 nt
Organism: Macadamia integrifolia
Lineage: Eukaryota; Viridiplantae; Streptophyta; Magnoliopsida; Proteales; Proteaceae
Exons: 2
Source: RefSeq, a predicted model, not a curated record
GACAGUUAUUGUUCCCUUUUUGUUGCUAUGUUCGUAUGAAACCAGAGGAGAAAAGAAAAGGGAGAGAAGAUGAAGAAGAAGAAGAAGAAGAAGAAAAGCGAAGAAGGAAGGGAAGAGAGUUGUGGAUUGAGGUUGCUGCACCUAAGAUGACAGAGCUUGAGCUGGAGUGGAUCGAGAGACUCGGCCAGGGUUGUGAGGUUGUGCCUGUGUGACAUCAUAUGGAGGACUGGGAUUUCCUUUACUUUUAAGAUUUUAUUAUUAUGCUCGUAAGGUGUAUUUAAUUAUGGUAAUUGUGUGUUGUGAACAAAUUGGGUCUAUAAUAAUUAUUUAUCACUUAGAUUUGAUCA